Molecule: ribosomal RNA, 2704 nt
Filed under: Acinetobacter baumannii
Lineage: Bacteria; Pseudomonadati; Pseudomonadota; Gammaproteobacteria; Moraxellales; Moraxellaceae
Description: partial 23S ribosomal RNA
Rfam family: Bacterial large subunit ribosomal RNA
Source: RNAcentral
AGUCAAGUAAUUAAGUGCAUGUGGUGGAUGCCUUGGCAGUCAGAGGCGAUGAAAGACGUGAUAGCCUGCGAAAAGCUCCGGGGAGGCGGCAAAUAUCCUUUGAUCCGGAGAUGUCUGAAUGGGGGAACCCACCUACUUUAAGGUAGGUAUUGCAACAUGAAUACAUAGUGUUGCAAGGCGAACGAGGGGAAGUGAAACAUCUCAGUACCCUUAGGAAAAGAAAUCAAUUGAGAUUCCCUCAGUAGCGGCGAGCGAACGGGGAUCAGCCCAUUAAGUUAUGUGUGUUUUAGUGGAACGCUCUGGGAAGUGCGAACGUAGAGGGUGAUAUUCCCGUACACGAAAGGGCACACAUAAUGAUGACGAGUAGGGCGAGGCACGUGAAACCUUGUCUGAAUAUGGGGGGACCAUCCUCCAAGGCUAAAUACUCCUGACUGACCGAUAGUGAACCAGUACCGUGAGGGAAAGGCGAAAAGAACCCCUGUGAGGGGAGUGAAAUAGAUCCUGAAACCGCAUGCAUACAAGCAGUGGGAGCACCUUCGUGGUGUGACUGCGUACCUUUUGUAUAAUGGGUCAGCGACUUAUAUUCAGUAGCGAGGUUAACCGUAUAGGGGAGCCGUAGAGAAAUCGAGUCUUAAUAGGGCGUUUAGUUGCUGGGUAUAGACCCGAAACCAGGCGAUCUAUCCAUGAGCAGGUUGAAGGUUGGGUAACACUAACUGGAGGACCGAACCCACUGUCGUUGAAAAGCCAGGGGAUGACUUGUGGAUAGGGGUGAAAGGCUAAUCAAGCCUGGUGAUAGCUGGUUCUCCCCGAAAGCUAUUUAGGUAGCGCCUCGGACGAAUACCAUAGGGGGUAGAGCACUGUUUCGGCUAGGGGGUCAUCCCGACUUACCAAACCGAUGCAAACUCCGAAUACCUAUGAGUACUAUCCGGGAGACAGACUGCGGGUGCUAACGUCCGUAGUCAAGAGGAAAACAAUCCAGACCGCCAGCUAAGGCCCCAAAAUCAUAGUUAAGUGGGAAACGAUGUGGGAAGGCAUAGACAGCUAGGAGGUUGGCUUAGAAGCAGCCACCCUUUAAAGAAAGCGUAAUAGCUCACUAGUCGAGUCGGCCUGCGCGGAAGAUGUAACGGGGCUAAAACUAUGUGCCGAAGCUGCGGAUGUAUACUUUGUAUACGUGGUAGGGGAGCGUUCUGUAAGCCGAUGAAGGUGUGUUGAGAAGCAUGCUGGAGGUAUCAGAAGUGCGAAUGCUGACGUGAGUAACGACAAAACGGGUGAAAAACCCGUUCGCCGAAAGACCAAGGGUUCCAGUCCAACGUUAAUCGGGGCUGGGUGAGUCGACCCCUAAGGCGAGGCCGAAAGGCGUAGUCGAUGGGAAAAUGGUUAAUAUUCCAUUACUUCUGUGUAAUGCGAUGAGAGGACGGAGAAGGCUAAAUCAGCCUGGCGUUGGUUGUCCAGGUGAAAGGAUGUAGGCAUGUAUCUUAGGCAAAUCCGGGGUACUCUAUGCUGAGAUCUGAUAGCAAGCUGUACUUGUACAGCGAAGUGGUUGAUGCCAUGCUUCCAGGAAAAGUCUCUAAGCUUCAGUUACACAGGAAUCGUACCCGAAACCGACACAGGUGGUCAGGUCGAGUAGACCAAGGCGCUUGAGAGAACUCUGCUGAAGGAACUAGGCAAAAUGGUACCGUAACUUCGGGAGAAGGUACGCUGUUGUUGGUGAUGGAACUCGCUUCCUGAGCUGACGACAGCCGCAGAAACCAGGCCGCUGCAACUGUUUAUUAAAAACAUAGCACUCUGCAAACACGAAAGUGGACGUAUAGGGUGUGAUGCCUGCCCGGUGCUGGAAGGUUAAUUGAUGGGGUUAGCGUAAGCGAAGCUCUUGAUCGAAGCCCCAGUAAACGGCGGCCGUAACUAUAACGGUCCUAAGGUAGCGAAAUUCCUUGUCGGGUAAGUUCCGACCUGCACGAAUGGCAUAAUGAUGGCGGCGCUGUCUCCAGCAGAGGCUCAGUGAAAUCGAAAUCGCUGUGAAGAUGCAGUGUACCCGCGGCUAGACGGAAAGACCCCGUGAACCUUUACUGCAGCUUGACACUGAACUUUGACCUUACUUGUGUAGGAUAGGUGGGAGGCUUUGAAGCUGGAACGCUAGUUCCAGUGGAGCCGUCCUUGAAAUACCACCCUGGUAAUGUUGAGGUUCUAACUCUGUCCCGUGAUCCGGGACGAGGACCGUGUCUGGUGGGUAGUUUGACUGGGGCGGUCUCCUCCUAAAGAGUAACGGAGGAGUACGAAGGUGCGCUCAGCGUGGUCGGAAAUCACGCGUAGAGUAUAAAGGCAAAAGCGCGCUUAACUGCGAGACCCACAAGUCGAGCAGGUACGAAAGUAGGUCUUAGUGAUCCGGUGGUUCUGUAUGGAAGGGCCAUCGCUCAACGGAUAAAAGGUACUCUGGGGAUAACAGGCUGAUACCGCCCAAGAGUUCAUAUCGACGGCGGUGUUUGGCACCUCGAUGUCGGCUCAUCUCAUCCUGGGGCUGAAGCAGGUCCCAAGGGUAUGGCUGUUCGCCAUUUAAAGAGGUACGCGAGCUGGGUUUAGAACGUCGUGAGACAGUUCGGUCCCUAUCUACCGUGGGCGCUGGAAAUUUGAGAGGAUCUGCUCCUAGUACGAGAGGACCAGAGUGGACGAACCUCUGGUGUACCGGUUGUGACGCCAGUCGCAUCGC